This 468-nucleotide ribosomal RNA is filed under the name uncultured bacterium. RNAcentral's name for it is "partial 16S ribosomal RNA". It matches the Rfam family "Bacterial small subunit ribosomal RNA", at positions 28 to 507 of the family's 1533-position model. The record is from RNAcentral.
GACGAACGCUGGCGGCGUGCUUAACACAUGCAAGUCGAACGGAAAGGCGCUGCUUUUGUGGGGUGCUCGAGUGGCGAACGGGUGAGUAACACGUGAGUAACCUGCACUUGACUGUGGGGUAACUUCAGGAGACUGGGGCUAAUAUCGGAGAGGAGCUCCUGCUGCAUGUGGGGGGUUGGAGAGUUUCGGCGGUUGUGGCUAUACUGGCGGCUUAUCAGCUGGUUUGGGAGGUAGUGGCGUACCAGGGCUUUGACGGGUAGCCGGCCUGAGAGAGUGACCGGCCACAUUGGGACUGAGGUACGGACCAGUAUCGUACCGUCCGCAGUAGUGGAGAGUAUUGCGCAACGGGCGGAAGCGAGAUGCAGAAACGUCCGGUGCGGGAUGACGGCCUUCGGGUUGUAAACAGAUUUGGACUGUGAUGAAGAGUGCGUGACGGUAAUGGGUCAAGAAGCACCGGCUAACUACGUG